RNAcentral lists this microRNA precursor (157 nucleotides) under Pelobates cultripes (western spadefoot toad). Lineage: Eukaryota; Metazoa; Chordata; Amphibia; Anura; Pelobatidae. The record is from RNAcentral.
GCAGACACAUUCCAGCCAAUCAGCAGCAGACCCUCCCUCCCAGACCCUCCCCCCUCCUGGACAGCAUCCAUUGUGAAGCUGCAUUCUUAGUGAGCUGUCCAGGAGGUGGGAGGGUCUGGGAGGGAGGGUCUGCUGCUGAUUGGCUGGAAUGUGUCUG